GCCAGCAUGGCAUAGUGGUUUUAGUGUUAGACUGUGACUUUGGAGACCAGGGUUCGAUUCCCGCUCGGCCA
RNAcentral lists this transfer RNA (71 nucleotides) under Phrynosoma platyrhinos (Desert horned lizard). RNAcentral describes it as "tRNA-OTHER". The record is from RNAcentral. Lineage: Eukaryota; Metazoa; Chordata; Lepidosauria; Squamata; Phrynosomatidae.